GAGUAAACAGAUUUGUUUUCAUCAGUGUUAGCAAGACCUGGAAGGAUGCUCAGAGCUACUGCAGACAGUAUUACACAGACCUGGUCAUCAUUCAGAAUCAAACUGAGCGUAACCAACUGAGUAUAAUGCAACCAUAUACAAGUGCUUGGAUUGGACUGUUCAGAGACGUGUGGAAAUGGUCAGAUGAAACAGAAGUCUCCACUUCCUCCUUUACUAGACUGCCUUUACAAUCUGGGCUGCAGAGUCCUUGUGGUGUUUCAGAUCCUGAUGGAAUGAUCAGUUAUCAGGACUGCUCAAACGUUCUCCCUUUCAUCUGCAUGUACCGUGCAAAAAAACAGAUUGUAAGACUGAGGGUCAACUCUGGUUCAAAUCUUAAUGAUCCUGCAGUGAUGACUGUUAUCUUACAGUGGAUAAAACAGAAGCUAAAGGAAAGGGGUAUAGAAAAGGAAACAAAAUUGACAUGGAGAAUUCAGGCAAAUGGAUAUGUGUUUUCACGAGUUACACAUUUUUAAGUUUCAGCGGCAGCAGUGGUGGUCCUGGCUCACUUUGACUCCAGCUGUUUCCUCAGAAGUGUCAACACUGUGGCAGAACAUAUAAAAGGAGUAAUUCAUGC
Molecule: long non-coding RNA, 613 nt
Organism: Carassius carassius (crucian carp)
Lineage: Eukaryota; Metazoa; Chordata; Actinopteri; Cypriniformes; Cyprinidae
Exons: 4
Source: RefSeq, a predicted model, not a curated record